GAUGAACGCUAGCGGCAGGCUUAAUACAUGCAAGUCGAGGGGCAUCAAGGUACACGAAAGUGUAUUGUUGGCGACCGGCGGACGGGUGAGUAAUAGGUAGGUAACCUACCUCAUACUGAGGCAUAGCUGGGAGAAAUUCCAGGUAAUUCCUCAUGAGGUUAUAUGACACAUGUGAUAUAAUCAAAGGUAUCGCAAGGUACUGGUAUGAGAUGGGCUUACUGACCAUUAGCUAGUUGGUGAGAUAAGAGCUCACCAAGGCGAAGAUGGUUAGGGGUUUUGAGAGAGAGAUCCCCCACAUUGGAACUGAGAUACGGUCCAGACUCCUACGGGAGGCAGCAGUGGGGAAUUUUGGACAAUGGGCGCAAGCCUGAUCCAGCCAUGCCGCGUGCAGGAUGAAGGCCUUCGGUUGUAACUGCUUUGUACGGAACGAAAAGACUCUUUCUAAUAAAGAGGGUCCAUGACGGUACCGUAAGAAUAAGCACCGGCUAACUACG
This 494-nucleotide ribosomal RNA is filed under the name uncultured bacterium. Its description in RNAcentral is "bacterial SSU rRNA". It matches the Rfam family "Bacterial small subunit ribosomal RNA", at positions 28 to 505 of the family's 1533-position model. The record is from RNAcentral.